This 223-nucleotide long non-coding RNA is filed under the name Gallus gallus (chicken). Lineage: Eukaryota; Metazoa; Chordata; Aves; Galliformes; Phasianidae. The record is from RNAcentral.
AGAAUGAAGGCAACAAACUCUACAAAGACCUGAAGGCUUUUGUCGGUGCAGUGAAAGUGAUGCACGAGAGCUCACGAAAAGUGGCCGAAACGCUGCAGGAGAUUUACAGCACCGAAUGGGACGGCCACGUGGAGCUGAAGGCCAUCGCAGACAGCAACGAUUUGCUGUGGGAUGACAACGAGGCAAAGCUGCGACCAGGCGCUGCGCCUGAUGGAGAACUACC